This 254-nucleotide ribosomal RNA is filed under the name uncultured bacterium. Its description in RNAcentral is "partial 16S ribosomal RNA". It matches the Rfam family "Bacterial small subunit ribosomal RNA", at positions 524 to 776 of the family's 1533-position model. The record is from RNAcentral.
UACGGAGGGUGCGAGCGUUGUCCGGAAUCACUGGGCGUAAAGGGCGCGUAGGCGGCAGGCCAAGCGUGCGGUGAAAGUCCGGGGCUCAACCCCGGAUCUGCCGUGCGGACUGGUUUGCUAGAGCACUGUAGAGGCGAGUGGAAUUCCGGGUGUAGCGGUGGAAUGCGUAGAGAUCCGGAAGAACACCGGUGGCGAAGGCGGGUUGCUGGGCUGACACUGACGCUGACAGCGCGAAAGCUAGGGGAGCGAACGGG